AGAGUUUGAUCCUGGCUCAGAAUCAACGCUGGCGGCGCGCUUAACACAUGCAAGUCGCACGAGAAAGUGGAGCAAUCCAUGAGUACAGUGGCGUACGGGUGAGUAACACGUGGAUCAUCUACCUCUUGAUGGGGAAUAACCCUGGGAAACCGGGGCUAAUACCGCAUAAGCCUGAAAAGGGAAAGCAGCAAUGCGUCGAGAGAGGAGUCCGCGGCCGAUUAGCUAGUUGGUAGGGUAAAGGCCUACCAAGGCAAUGAUCGGUAGCCGGCCUGAGAGGGCACACGGCCACACUGGCACUGAAACACGGGCCAGACUCCUACGGGAGGCAGCAGUGGGGAAUCUUGCACAAUGGAGGAAACUCUGAUGCAGCGACGCCGCGUGAGUGAUGAAGCCCUUCGGGGUGUAAAGCUCUUUCGGCAGGAACGAUAAUGACGGUACCUGCAGAAGAAGCUGCGGCUAACUACGUGCCAGCAGCCGCGGUAAUACGUAGGCAGCAAGCGUUGUUCGGAAUUACUGGGCGUAAAGAGUGUGUAGGCGGUUCUCUAAGUUCCGUGUGAAAUCUCCCGGCUCAACUGGGAGGGUGCGCGGGAAACUGGAGGGCUCGAGUAUGGGAGAGGAAAGCGGAAUUCCUGGUGUAGCGGUGAAAUGCGUAGAUAUCAGGAGGAACACCUGCGGUGUAGACAGCUUUCUGGACCAUCACUGACGCUGAGACACGAAAGCGUGGGUAGCAAACAGGAUUAGAUACCCUAGUAGUCC
This 756-nucleotide ribosomal RNA is filed under the name uncultured bacterium. RNAcentral's name for it is "bacterial SSU rRNA". It matches the Rfam family "Bacterial small subunit ribosomal RNA", at positions 8 to 796 of the family's 1533-position model. The record is from RNAcentral.